Molecule: ribosomal RNA, 478 nt
Filed under: uncultured bacterium
Lineage: Bacteria
Description: partial 16S ribosomal RNA
Rfam family: Bacterial small subunit ribosomal RNA
Source: RNAcentral
GACGAACGCUGGUGGCGUGCUUAACACAUGCAAGUCGAACGGAAAGGCCCUUCGGGGUACUCGAGUGGCGAACGGGUGAGUAACACGUGGGUGAUCUGCCCUGCACUUUGGGAUAAGCCUGGGAAACUGGGUCUAAUACCGAAUAGGACCACGGCAUUCAUGUGCUGUGGUGGAAAGCUUUUGCGGUGUGGGAUGGGCCCGCGGCCUAUCAGCUUGUUGGUGGGGUAAUGGCCUACCAAGGCGACGACGGGUAGCCGGCCUGAGAGGGUGACCGGCCACACUGGGACUGAGAUACGGCCCAGACUCCUACGGGAGGCAGCAGUGGGGAAUAUUGCACAAUGGGCGCAAGCCUGAUGCAGCGACGCCGCGUGAGGGAUGACGGCCUUCGGGUUGUAAACCUCUUUCGCCAGGGACGAAGCGCAAGUGACGGUACCUGGAGAAGAAGGACCGGCCAACUACGUGCCAGCAGCCGCCGUAA